This 308-nucleotide ribosomal RNA is filed under the name uncultured Prevotellaceae bacterium. RNAcentral's name for it is "bacterial SSU rRNA". It matches the Rfam family "Bacterial small subunit ribosomal RNA", at positions 355 to 659 of the family's 1533-position model. The record is from RNAcentral. Lineage: Bacteria; Pseudomonadati; Bacteroidota; Bacteroidia; Bacteroidales; Prevotellaceae.
UGAGGAAUAUUGGUCAAUGGCCGCAAGGCUGAACCAGCCAAGUAGCGUGCAGGAAGACGGCCCUCGGGUUGUAAACUGCUUUUAGUCGGGAAUAAAAGGGCGCACGUGUGCGUCGUAUUGCAAGUACCGUCAGAAAAAGGACCGGCUAAUUCCGUGCCAGCAGCCGCGGUAAUACGGAAGGUCCGGGCGUUAUCCGGAUUUAUUGGGUUUAAAGGGAGCGUAGGCGGUCUGGUAAGUCAGCUGUGAAAACGCGGGGCUCAACUCCGCGCCUGCAGUUGAUACUGUCGGACUUGAGUGCACGCAGGGGA